UGGGGAAUUUUGGACAAUGGGCGAAAGCCUGAUCCAGCAAUGCCGCGUGUGUGAAGAAGGCCUUCGGGUUGUAAAGCACUUUUGUCCGGAAAGAAAUCCUUGGCUCUAGUACAGCUCGGGGGAUGACGGUACCGGAAGAAUAAGCACCGGCUAACUACGUGCCAGCAGCCGCGGUAAUACGUAGGGUGCAAGCGUUAAUCGGAAUUACUGGGCGUAAAGCGUGCGCAGGCGGUUUGCUAAGACCGAUGUGAAAUCCCCGGGCUCAACCUGGGAACUGCAUUGGUGACUGGCAGGCUAGAGUAUGGCAGAGGGGGGUAGAAUUCCACGUGUAGCAGUGAAAUGCGUAGAGAUGUGGAGGAAUACCGAUGGCGAGGGCAGCCCCCUGGGCCAAUACUGAUGCUCAUGCACGAAAGCGUGGGAGCAAACAGGAUUAGAUACCCUGGUAGUCCACGCCCUAAACGAUGUCAACUGGUUGUUGGGGAUUCAUUUCCUUAGUAACGUAGCUAACGCGUGAAGUUGACCGCCUGGGGAGUACGGUCGCAAGAUUAAAACUUAAAGGAAUUGACGGGG
RNAcentral lists this ribosomal RNA (570 nucleotides) under uncultured bacterium. RNAcentral describes it as "partial 16S ribosomal RNA". It matches the Rfam family "Bacterial small subunit ribosomal RNA", at positions 355 to 918 of the family's 1533-position model. The record is from RNAcentral.